Molecule: non-coding RNA, 32 nt
Filed under: Homo sapiens (human)
Lineage: Eukaryota; Metazoa; Chordata; Mammalia; Primates; Hominidae
Source: RNAcentral
UGGUAGACAUGGGUGCUCCCUGGAGCCGUCAC